CCUACGGGGGGCAGCAGUGGGGAAUAUUGGACAAUGGGGGAAACCCUUAUCCAGCGACGCCGCGUGAGUGAAGAAGUAUCUCGGUACGUAAAGCUCUAUCAGCAGGGAAGAAAAUGACGGUACCUGACUAAGAAGCCCCGGCUAACUACGGGCCAGCAGCCGCGGUAAUACGGAGGGGGCAAGCGUUAUCCGGAUUUACUGGGGUUAAAGGGAGCGUAGACGGCAUCACAAGUCUGGAGUGAAAUCCCGGGGCUUAACCCCGGAACUGCUUUGGAAACUGUGCGGCUGGAGUGCAGGAGGGGUAAGCGGAAUUCCUAGUGUAGCGGUGAAAUGCGUAGAUAGUAGGAGGAACACCGGUUGCGAAGGCGGCUUACUGGACUGUAACUGACGUUGAGGCUCGAAAGCGUGGGGAGCAAACAGGAUUAGAUACCCCUGUAGUC
RNAcentral lists this ribosomal RNA (440 nucleotides) under uncultured bacterium. RNAcentral's name for it is "partial 16S ribosomal RNA". It matches the Rfam family "Bacterial small subunit ribosomal RNA", at positions 338 to 795 of the family's 1533-position model. The record is from RNAcentral.